GUAAAAGUCGUAACAAGGUUUCCGUAGGUGAACCUGCGGAAGGAUCAUUAUUGAAAUAAACCUGAUAAGUUGCUGCUGGUUCUCUAGGGAGCAUGUGCACACUUGUCAUCUUUGUAUCUUCACCUGUGCACCUUUUGUAGACCUGAGUAUCUCUCUGAAUGCUUUAGCACUCAGGAUUGAGGAUUGAUUCCAAGUCUUUUCUCRCAUUUUCAGGUCUAUGUUUCUUCAUAUACCCCAAUGUAUGUUCAUAGAAUGUAAUUAAUGGGCCUUUGUGCCUAUAAACCCAUACAACUUUCAGCAACGGAUCUCUUGGCUCUCGCAUCGAUGAAGAACGCAGCGAAAUGCGAUAAGUAAUGUGAAUUGCAGAAUUCAGUGAAUCAUCGAAUCUUUGAACGCACCUUGCGCUCCUUGGUAUUCUGAGGAGCAUGCCUGUUUGAGUGUCAUUAAUAUAUCAACCUUCUUUGGUUGGAUGUGGGGUGUGCUGGCCUCUUCAGGUCARCUCUCCUUAAAUGCAUUAGCGGACUACAUUUUGCCAACCGUUCAUUGGUGUGAUAAUUAUCUACGCUAUUGACGUGAAGCAACGUUCAGCUUCUAACAGUCCAUUGACUUGGACAAAUUUUUAUUAAUGUGACCUCAAAUCAGGUAGGACUACCCGCUGAACUUAAGCAUAUCAAUAAGCGGAGGAAAAGAAACUAACAAGGAUUCCCCUAGUAACUGCGAGUGAAGCGGGAAAAGCUCAAAUUUAAAAUCUGGCGGUCUUUGGCUGUCCGAGUUGUAAUCU
Molecule: ribosomal RNA, 781 nt
Filed under: Calonarius luteicolor
Lineage: Eukaryota; Fungi; Basidiomycota; Agaricomycetes; Agaricales; Cortinariaceae
Description: eukaryotic LSU rRNA
Rfam family: 5.8S ribosomal RNA (bases 290-443)
Source: RNAcentral